Molecule: transfer RNA, 72 nt
Filed under: Camelus bactrianus (Bactrian camel)
Lineage: Eukaryota; Metazoa; Chordata; Mammalia; Artiodactyla; Camelidae
Also listed under: 1 other name
Rfam family: tRNA
About the family: Transfer RNA (tRNA) molecules are approximately 80 nucleotides in length.
Source: Rfam by way of RNAcentral
GAGGGUAUAGCUCAGUGGUAGAGCACAUGUUUAGCAUGCAUGAGGUCCUGGGUUCAAUCCCCAGUACCCCCA